Molecule: small nuclear RNA, 139 nt
Organism: Macaca mulatta (Rhesus monkey)
Lineage: Eukaryota; Metazoa; Chordata; Mammalia; Primates; Cercopithecidae
Gene: U2
Rfam family: U2 spliceosomal RNA
About the family: U2 is a small nuclear RNA (snRNA) component of the spliceosome (involved in pre-mRNA splicing). Complementary binding between U2 snRNA (in an area lying towards the 5' end but 3' to hairpin I) and the branchpoint sequence (BPS) of the intron results the bulging out of an unpaired adenosine, on the BPS, which initiates a nucleophilic attack at the intronic 5' splice site, thus starting the first of two transesterification reactions that mediate splicing.
Source: Ensembl
AUUGCUUCUCGGUCUUUUGGCUAAGAUCAAGCGUAGUAUCUGUUUCUAUCAGUUAAAUAUGGUAACAAACUACAGUAGUCUUAUUGGUACCUGUGGCUUAGUCACCAAUAGAAAUCAAGAUAAUUUCAUAUAACAUUAU